AGAGUUUGAUCAUGGCUCAGGAUGAACGCUAGCGGCAGGCUUAACACAUGCAAGUCGAGGGGCAGCACAGGUAGCAAUACUGGGUGGCGACCGGCGCACGGGUGCGUAACGCGUAUACAAUUUACCUUUUACUAUUGGAUAGCCCAGAGAAAUUUGGAUUAAUACUUCAUGGUAUAUAGAUAUCGCAUGGUAUUUAUAUUAAAGAUUUAUUGGUAUAAGAUGAGUAUGCGUCCUAUUAGUUAGUUGGUAAGGUAAUGGCUUACCAAGACAUCGAUAGGUAGGGACCCUGAGAGGGGGAUCCCCCACACUGGUACUGAGACACGGACCAGACUCCUACGGGAGGCAGCAGUGAGGAAUAUUGGUCAAUGGGCGGGAGCCUGAUCCAGCCAUGCCGCGUGCAGGAAGACGGCCCUAUGGGUCUUAAACUGCUUUUGUACGGGAAGAAAAAGGGGCACGUGUGCCCUGUUGACGGUACCGUAAGAAUAAGGACCGGCUAACUCCGUGCCAGCAGCCGCGGUAAUACGGAGGGUCCGAGCGUUAUCCGGAAUUAUUGGGUUUAAAGGGUCCGUAGGCGGGCCAUUAAGUCAGGGGUGAAAGUCUGCGGCUCAACCGCAGAACUGCCCUUGAUACUGGUGGUCUUGAGUUAUGGUGAAGUGGCCGGAAUAUGUAGUGUAGCGGUGAAAUGCAUAGAUAUUACAUAGAACACCGAUUGCGAAGGC
RNAcentral lists this ribosomal RNA (719 nucleotides) under uncultured bacterium. RNAcentral describes it as "bacterial SSU rRNA". It matches the Rfam family "Bacterial small subunit ribosomal RNA", at positions 8 to 722 of the family's 1533-position model. The record is from RNAcentral.